GUCCCACCAACAGUUCAGAAACCUACCACAGUAAAUGUUCCAACUACAGAA
Molecule: small RNA, 51 nt
Filed under: Homo sapiens (human)
Lineage: Eukaryota; Metazoa; Chordata; Mammalia; Primates; Hominidae
Description: circRNA (1:207336713-207336763)
Source: RNAcentral